CCUACGGGGGGCAGCAGUGAGGAAUAUUGGUCAAUGGACGAGAGUCUGAACCAGCCAAGCCGCGUGAAGGAUGACUGCCCUAUGGGUUGUAAACUUCUUUUAUAUGGGAAUAAAAUGUUCCACGUGUGGGAUUUUGUAUGUACCAUAUGACUAAGGAUCGGCUAACUCCGUGCCAGCAGCCGCGGUAAUACGGAGGAUCCGAGCGUUAUCCGGAUUUAUUGGGUUUAAAGGGAGCGUAGGUGGAUUGUUAAGUCAGUUGUGAAAGUUUGCGGCUCAACCGGAGAAUUGCAGUUGAAACUGGCAGGCUUGAGUACAGUAGAGGUGAGUGGAAUUCGUGGUGUAGCGGUGAAAUGCUUAGAUAUCACGAAGAACGCCGAUUGCGAAGGCAGCUCACUGGACUGCAACUGACACUGAGGCUCGAAAGUGUGGGUAUCAAACAGGAUUAGAUACCCGAGUAGUC
RNAcentral lists this ribosomal RNA (460 nucleotides) under uncultured bacterium. RNAcentral's name for it is "partial 16S ribosomal RNA". It matches the Rfam family "Bacterial small subunit ribosomal RNA", at positions 338 to 795 of the family's 1533-position model. The record is from RNAcentral.